AGCCGGUUCGUUCAGUGGUAGGACGCCGCCUUUUGACGGCGGAUGUCGAGGGUUCGAGUCCUUCACCGGCUUCCA
RNAcentral lists this transfer RNA (75 nucleotides) under Rhodopseudomonas sp. BR0C11. Its description in RNAcentral is "tRNA-Gln". It matches the Rfam family "tRNA". Rfam says of the family: Transfer RNA (tRNA) molecules are approximately 80 nucleotides in length. Their secondary structure includes four short double-helical elements and three loops (D, anti-codon, and T loops). Further hydrogen bonds mediate the characteristic L-shaped molecular structure. tRNAs have two regions of fundamental functional importance: the anti-codon, which is responsible for specific mRNA codon recognition, and the 3' end, to which the tRNAs corresponding amino acid is attached (by aminoacyl-tRNA synthetases). tRNAs cope with the degeneracy of the genetic code in two manners: having more than one tRNA (with a specific anti-codon) for a particular amino acid; and 'wobble' base-pairing, i.e. permitting non-standard base-pairing at the 3rd anti-codon position. The record is from RNAcentral. Lineage: Bacteria; Pseudomonadati; Pseudomonadota; Alphaproteobacteria; Hyphomicrobiales; Nitrobacteraceae.